UUCAAUGAUCGCAUUCACGAAGUUCCUUCCA
RNAcentral lists this non-coding RNA (31 nucleotides) under Homo sapiens (human). The record is from RNAcentral. Lineage: Eukaryota; Metazoa; Chordata; Mammalia; Primates; Hominidae.